GGAUCAAUAUGCUGGUCGUGCCUUUGGUACGUACUGGCAUUAUUGGUUUCUCCUUUCUGAUGAAUCACGAUGUCAUUAAUUUGGUGUCAUGGGGAAUCAGGACUGUUACUUUGAAAAAUUAGAGUGUUUAAAGCAGGCUUACGCUUGAAUACAUUAGCAUGGAAUAAUGAAAUAGGACGUUUAAUUCUAUUUUGUUGGUUUCUAGGAUUGACGUAAUGAUUA
Molecule: ribosomal RNA, 222 nt
Filed under: uncultured Glomeromycotina
Lineage: Eukaryota; Fungi; Glomeromycota
Description: partial 18S ribosomal RNA
Rfam family: Eukaryotic small subunit ribosomal RNA (bases 47-222)
Source: RNAcentral